UGGGGAAUAUUGGACAAUGGGGGCAACCCUGAUCCAGCAAUGCCGCGUGUGUGAAGAAGGUCUUCGGAUUGUAAAGCACUUUCGACGGGGACGAUGAUGACGGUACCCGUAGAAGAAGCCCCGGCUAACUUCGUGCCAGCAGCCGCGGUAAUACGAAGGGGGCUAGCGUUGCUCGGAAUGACUGGGCGUAAAGGGCAUGUAGGCGGUUUACACAGUCAGAUGUGAAAUCCCCGGGCUUAACCUGGGAGCUGCAUUUGAUACGUGUAGACUAGAGUGUGAGAGAGG
RNAcentral lists this ribosomal RNA (285 nucleotides) under uncultured bacterium. RNAcentral's name for it is "partial 16S ribosomal RNA". It matches the Rfam family "Bacterial small subunit ribosomal RNA", at positions 355 to 657 of the family's 1533-position model. The record is from RNAcentral.